This 369-nucleotide ribosomal RNA is filed under the name uncultured bacterium. RNAcentral's name for it is "bacterial SSU rRNA". It matches the Rfam family "Bacterial small subunit ribosomal RNA", at positions 527 to 896 of the family's 1533-position model. The record is from RNAcentral.
GUAGGCAGCAAGCGUUGUUCGGAGUUACUGGGCGUAAAGAGUGCGUAGGUGGUGCCCUAAGUCUGUUGUGAAAUCUCCCGGCUUAACUGGGAGGGUGCGGUGGAAACUGGGGUGCUUGAGUGUGGGAGAGGUAAGCGGAAUUCCUGGUGUAGCGGUGAAAUGCGUAGAUAUCAGGAGGAACACCGGUGGUGUAGACGGCUUACUGGACCACGACUGACACUGAGGCACGAAAGCGUGGGUAGCAAACAGGAUUAGAUACCCUGGUAGUCCACGCCCUAAACGAUGCAUACUUGGUGUGAGCCAUUCAUUUGGUUCGUGCCGGAGCUAACGCGUUAAGUAUGCCGCCUGGGGAGUACGGUCGCAAGGCUG